This 497-nucleotide ribosomal RNA is filed under the name uncultured bacterium. RNAcentral describes it as "partial 16S ribosomal RNA". It matches the Rfam family "Bacterial small subunit ribosomal RNA", at positions 28 to 507 of the family's 1533-position model. The record is from RNAcentral.
GAUGAACGCUGGCGGCGUGCCUAAUACAUGCAAGUCGAGCGAACAGACGAGGAGCUUGCUCCUCGGACGUUAGCGGCGGACGGGUGAGUAACACGUGGAUAACCUACCUAUAAGACUGGGAUAACUUCGGGAAACCGGAGCUAAUACCGGAUAAUAUAUUGAACCGCAUGGUUCAAUAGUGAAAGACGGUUUUGCUGUCACUUAUAGAUGGAUCCGCGCCGCAUUAGCUAGUUGGUAAGGUAACGGCUUACCAAGGCGACGAUGCGUAGCCGACCUGAGAGGGUGAUCGGCCACACUGGAACUGAGACACGGUCCAGACUCCUACGGGAGGCAGCAGUAGGGAAUCUUCCGCAAUGGGCGAAAGCCUGACGGAGCAACGCCGCGUGAGUGAUGAAGGUCUUCGGAUCGUGAAACUCUGUUAUUAGGGAAGAACAAAUGUGUAAGUAACUAUGCACGUCUUGACGGUACCUAAUCAGAAAGCCACGGCUAACUACGUG